CCUACGGGUGGCAGCAGUGAGGAAUAUUGGUCAAUGGUCGUAAGACUGAACCAGCCAAGUCGCGUGAGGGAGGAAGGUACAAUGGAUCGUAAACCUCUUUUGUAAGGGAACAAAGGCGGGGACGUGUCCUAGUAUGAGUGUACCUUAUGAAAAAGGAUCGGCUAACUCCGUGCCAGCAGCCGCGGUAAUACGGAGGAUGCGAGCGUUAUCCGGAUUUAUUGGGUUUAAAGGGUGCGCAGGCGGCCUGUUAAGUCAGCGGUUAAAGUCCGGGGCUCAACCCCCGCCCUGCCGUUGAACCUGGCCGGCUUGAGUUGGAGAGAGGUAUGCGGGAUGCGUGGUGUAGCGGUGAAAUGCAUAGAUAUCGCGCAGAACCCCGAUUGCGAAGGCAGCCUGCC
RNAcentral lists this ribosomal RNA (395 nucleotides) under uncultured bacterium. RNAcentral describes it as "partial 16S ribosomal RNA". It matches the Rfam family "Bacterial small subunit ribosomal RNA", at positions 338 to 730 of the family's 1533-position model. The record is from RNAcentral.